Molecule: long non-coding RNA, 621 nt
Organism: Marmota flaviventris (yellow-bellied marmot)
Lineage: Eukaryota; Metazoa; Chordata; Mammalia; Rodentia; Sciuridae
Source: RefSeq, a predicted model, not a curated record
UAGAGGAGGAGGAGCCCGGAAGUAACUCCUGGUGGCGGCGCCCUGGGUCCUGGGUGGAGGGUCCGGCUGGCGAGGUCAGUGACAGGAGAAGGGUCCUGGUCAGGAUGCGGGGGCCUCAGCAGAGUGGCCUGGGCCGCGGACCUCAGAGGAGAAGAGGUGGCCUGACCCGCAGGCCCCCUGGAGAGUGGGAGGGCGACGGAGGAGCCCAGUGUGACCUGGGGAGCAGGAGGCCCCUUUAAAAGACAGACCCGCCCAGCCCCACUUUCCCAGGCUGCAUGCUGCACCGCAUUCAACUUCACGUGCUCCUGUCCUGCCUACUCUCAGGAAACCGGGUCAUCUCCAGUUUGUCACUAUUAUGACCAGCUCAGCCACCGCGGAUUUGGUCACAGCGUCCUUCUUUGCUAAAUUCCUGGAAUGGGAGGCCAGGGUGUGAGCAUGUGCACCUUGACGGUUUCUGAAAGGAACUGCCAAGAACCUUCCUGCAGGAGGCUCCUCUCUCUCCAAGGGGCCCAGGACGGGGUCUUUCCUCUCAGCGCGGCUGCAUGGCUUUAUAGGCCGACCCCUGCUGUUAUAUUCUUGCUUUAAUCCGUAUUUUAAUUAGAUUAACCAUCUUCUAGAUGA